GCCUUGUUAUCUAAUCACUGUCGCUCUGUAUAAGCAGAAACCAGGAGGAGAGACGGUGUUGGAGCUGGAGUGAGAACGAGAGCGAGUCUGCCAGUGUCACGACUUGGUCCUUGGGGUUUGUUUUUCCGGAAUGCAACGGAAAGUUGGCGCGGGCAAGACGUGAAUAUCUGGCUGCGUGCCUCCCCCGCUGCAGGACAAGCCCGCACCAGGACAACGGCACAACAUCGGGCAUGAAGGACGGCGCAAGGGCAGGCUCGGGCUGACACCAACAGGCCAACCAACACAGCAACAAACAAAUACAAAGCCAGCAAGUCUACCAGCCCAGUCUGAGUUCAAGAGCACUCAGCAACAGGCCUGAUUGGUGGAUUGCUGCAGAGAUGGUUGUCCUUCUGGAAAGUUCUCCUCUCUCCACAGUGGAAUGCUGUAGCGCUGACAGAUUGACCAUCAGAUUCUUGGUCACCUCCCUGACUAGGGUCUUCUACCCUGAUCGCUCAGUUUAAACAGCCGGCUGUCACGGGCCGGGCGCACACCAGUGUGCAUUCAUCUGUGCGCUGCGCUGGGCGCACCUCCAGCUGCACCAAGCAACUGCAUU
Entelurus aequoreus (snake pipefish) is the source of this 592-nucleotide long non-coding RNA. RefSeq lists it as uncharacterized. Lineage: Eukaryota; Metazoa; Chordata; Actinopteri; Syngnathiformes; Syngnathidae. The transcript is spliced from 3 exons. The record is from RefSeq and is a predicted model, not a curated record.